RNAcentral lists this ribosomal RNA (1217 nucleotides) under uncultured Rhizaria. RNAcentral describes it as "SSU rRNA". It matches the Rfam family "Eukaryotic small subunit ribosomal RNA", at positions 577 to 1804 of the family's 1831-position model. The record is from RNAcentral.
CGGUAAUUCCAGCUCCAAUAGCGUAUACUAAAGUUGUUGCAGUUAAAAAGCUCGUAGUUGGAUUUCUGCGGGGACGGAGCGGCCGGUCGCAACUUGCGACUCGAGCUAGCGCUUUCCCCGCAUCCUGCCGCGAACCGUGCUACCAUUAGUUUGGUGGCGCUGGGGAUCGGCUCGAUUACUUUGAGAAAAAUAGAGUGUUCAAAGCAGGCCACACGCCUUGAAUAAGUUAGCAUGGAAUAAUGACUAAGGACUUUGGUUCUUUUCGUUGGUGUUCGGGACUGAAGUAAUGAUUGAUAGGGACAGUUGGGGCGGUCCGUAUUCCAAAGCGAGAGGUGAAAUUCUUAGACCUUCGGAAGACGAACAGCUGCGAAAGCGUUCCGCAAGGAUGUUCCCUUUGAUCAAGAACGAAAGUUGGGGGAUCGAAGACGAUCAGAUACCGUCGUAGUCUCAACUAUAAACUAUACCAGCUAGGGAUCGGCCAACGUUUAAUUAUUCGACUUGGUCGGCACCUUAUGAGAAAUCAAAGCAUCUGGGUUCCGGGGGGAGUAUGGUCGCAAGGCUGAAACUUAAAGGAAUUGACGGAAGGGCACCACCAGCCGUGGAGCCUGUGGCUUAAUUUGACUCAACACGGGAAAACUUACCAGGUCCGGACAUAGUAAGGAUUGACAGAUUGAUAGCUCUUUCUUGAUUCUGUGGGUGGUGGUGCAUGGCCGUUUUUAGUCGGUGGAUGUGAUCUGUCUGCUUAAUUGCGUUAACGGACGAGACCCCAGCCUGCUAAAUAGCGCGGCCGAGCUUUGCUCGGUGCGAGCUUCUUAGAGGGACCAUGAUGCGCGAUAGCACAAGGAAGUUUGGGGCAACAACAGGUCUGUGAUGCCCUUAGAUGUUCUGGGCCGCACACGGGCUACACUGGCGCCUGCAACGAGCAUAUCAGCUGGCCCGAGAGGGUCUUGGCUAAUCUUUGGAACCGGCGCCGUGCUUGGGAUUGACCAUUGCAAUUGUUGGUCAUGCAACGAGGAAUGCCUUGUAAACGCGAGUCAUCAGCUCGCAUUGAAUACGUCCCUGCCCUUUGUACACACCGCCCGUCGCUCCUACCGAUGAAUGUUCCGAUGAAAUUUUCGGAGAGCACCAGAGAACGGGGCUCUGCCUUGCAGAUCUGGAGGCUCAAAGUCACUUAAAUCUGAACAUUUCGAGGAAGGAGAAGUCGUAACAAGGUAACC